AGGCCAUGUAAAAAUUUUCCGUGGAGAAGUUUGAUUCUAAAGUAGCUUCUCUAAAGUAGGCUUUGGUAGGUAAUCAACUUGACAGCAGUCUAGAUGUCUCACAGGACAGGAGGGAGUGAGGGAAAGGGGCCAUGAUUGGCUGCUUUGUGGUUUUAUUUUGGUUCUUUCCAUUCUCCGCCAUUCAUUGGAGGCUUCGUUCCAGACCUGCCUGGGAAAACAGCUUCUGAGCCAUUUUGGGGAGCAGUUCUUCAUCUGAAUGGAUGGACAUCUGGGCUUCCUUCAAGGGCCAUUGAAUGGGAACUAGAAAACCACUGGAAACUAGAAAUUUGAGCUAUUGGGCCCACCAGUAGCAGCAUGUGAUACUAGAUGGUUAAAAUCAUGAAAGCAGUCACUAUCCAAUUAGAAGCAGAGUCACAACAACUGUUGGGAAAUGUGACUCUUGGAGGAAGGUGGGGAGGGAGUGGCCUUGCCAGCCCUGUGGGACGUCCCCUGAAGUUUGUAAUAAGACCCCUUUUCCAAAGGGAUGUGAAUUGGAGUGAAAAGGAAAUCUUUCAUCUUAGAAAACUUCUGGUCCUUAACGCAGGGUGGUAUUUGGGUAUGUGCUUGGAAAUUGAGAUCUCAAGAGUGUUUGCCUUGGAGCCAGCUCCCCAGGAGGCCUUUUCCAGGGACAAGGCAAAAGUUGAAAUUCUCCAUGGGUAGCUAGAAAGCCAAUACAUCUAGCCCUGCUAAGUCAGAAAAAGAUUAUGAAAAAUGUUGAAAUUUACAUUCAAAGCCUCAUUUGCUUAUCUUGCUGGAGCCAACCCAGUCUAAUAGCAAAAUAGCUGUCAUUGAUACAGAAACAUCCUCAUUUUUAAAUGUCUGCUUUACCCUGUUACUGAGUUUGAGAUGACUUAAAUCACUGUGUUGACCCUCUUCUGAACCAAAUCUUUAGCAUUGAUGAAAAUAGUUAUUUUAUUCUUUACAUCCUUCACCCCACACUAUGGUCAGGGCAUGAAACACCCUGUUGAUCCCUUCCCAGGCUCGGCACUGUCUGCUCACUGGAGCCGGACUCCCAGGUUGUAAUUCUAAUGUUGCCUCAUGAGAACAGAAUGGCAGAAAGUUUAGUCCUGACAGAUUCCCCCAUAGGGAGUAAUGAGGACAGCAUGAAACUUGGAUAGGUUUUACCCUUAGUCCCUAUAAGGUGGAUUUUACUAAGGUUUUUUAAAUGAUACUGUCAUCCUCUUGGGGUUUAUCAGCCAGGUUAGAGGAGCCCAGUGUCCUAACCUCUCUCAGAUCAUGGCAGAGAAGGAGCUGCCUCCAGCCCCUUUCUUGCUGAGUUUCAUUUGAGCAGUUCCAUGUGUAGACAUUCCAAGUCACUGCUUGGUAGUUGCUGUGGGAGCCUGUCAUUGGCUAUGGCCAGUUAGUUCUCAGCUGAGCUUCCUAGGGCCAGUGCAACAGGGCCAGAGGCUGCUAUAGUGUAAAUUGAAAUAAGAAUAGAUCAUUGUUUUGUACACACACACAAUAAAAUGUAAUGAUGGUGCUAAUUUCACGGUAUAAAUAAGCACUGCCAAGGGUUGAGGGACUGGCAGCUCAAGAAACCCGGGUUCCUGUUUGGGAGGAGAUUUUAUGUAGAAAAGUUUGAGGCUUUGUUAAAAGUGGGGAGAAGGAAGAUCCUCAGUGAAGCCUGCACCCAACCCUGGAGUGGCCCAGUGCAAUCCAGAGGUGGAAGAGAUCCUAUAUCCAGGUGAAGGUGGCCAUUGAGUUUCUCAGGGCUGGGGCCACCUUGUCCAUAGCCUCCGUCCACGCUGCCUGGAGCAGGUUGUUAGAGAGCUCUGGUUGUUGGGUCUUCCUCAGCUCCCUUCUGCCCCUCUCUACCUCUUCCACUCAUGGAAGCCCCUCUACUGCUUAUGAAGAUUAAGGGUAGUAUUUUCUAAGGAAGUGGAAAGAAUUAAACUAGAAAUCCACAACCUCGGAAGAAGUGUUUCGAGUUUAACAUGCGCUGUUUCUGCUUAUGUGGUUCCUUCUCUAGAGCUGCUUUCCCAUGGCUUUCAAAACAUCAGGUUAUUGUGGGGCUUCAGGUGUAAGGUCCUGGAAGUUCAGCAAAGUUUCGUGGACAAGACAUGGGCACAGAGAGUAGAAGCAGAAAUAAAUGGUUCUAUGUUUUCAACUUCCAGGGUUGGGGCAGGCCAGAGCAAGGCGGUCUCAUCGAGGUGGGUGCUACCUGUGUGUGUGUAGAUGAGUGUGCUGAAGGUGGGGAGGGCAGCACACAGCAGCUCAUGGCAGAGCCGCCUCCUAGGUCUUGGCAAAGAGGCAAGCUGACGAUAGACAUCUACCUAUAUUGUUAAGAAAGGGGUCGGGGGGAUCAGCCAAGGUCCAUCAUUGCUUUUUUGCCGCGCCCCCCCCCCCCCGCCCCCAUAGAUUGUCAGCUGUAAGUGAAACUCCUAGUGAAAAAGAGGGGAGCCCUGUGUUAGGAGUCCCCAUAAACAUGUACUGUAAUUCUUUGUAUAUAGAAAAAAAAUUUACUGUAAAGUAAAGUUUAACUUUACUCAU
RNAcentral lists this long non-coding RNA (2529 nucleotides) under Homo sapiens (human). RNAcentral's name for it is "non-protein coding lnc-PRELID1-1:1". Lineage: Eukaryota; Metazoa; Chordata; Mammalia; Primates; Hominidae. The record is from RNAcentral.